GGGCUCGCUUCGGCAACAUAUAUACUAAAAUUGGAACAAUACACAGAAGAUUACCAUGCUCCCUGCAGGAGGAUGACACACAAGUUUGUGAAAAUAUCCAUAGUUUA
Molecule: small nuclear RNA, 107 nt
Organism: Alexandromys fortis (reed vole)
Lineage: Eukaryota; Metazoa; Chordata; Mammalia; Rodentia; Cricetidae
Source: RefSeq, a predicted model, not a curated record